UCUCUCCUACGGGAGGCAGCAGUAGGGAAUCUUCCACAAUGGGCGAAAGCCUGAUGGAGCAACGCCGCGUGGGUGAAGAAGGUCUUCGGAUCGUAAAACCCUGUUGUUAGAGAAGAAAGUGCGUGAGAGUAACUGUUCACGUUUCGACGGUAUCUAACCCGAAAGCCACGGCUAACUACGUGCCAGCAGCCGCGGUAAUACGUAGGUGGCAAGCGUUAUCCGGAUUUACUGGGUGUAAAGGGAGCGUAGACGGCGAUACAAGUCUGAAGUGAA
Molecule: ribosomal RNA, 273 nt
Filed under: uncultured bacterium
Lineage: Bacteria
Description: partial 16S ribosomal RNA
Rfam family: Bacterial small subunit ribosomal RNA
Source: RNAcentral